RNAcentral lists this ribosomal RNA (494 nucleotides) under uncultured bacterium. Its description in RNAcentral is "partial 16S ribosomal RNA". It matches the Rfam family "Bacterial small subunit ribosomal RNA", at positions 29 to 507 of the family's 1533-position model. The record is from RNAcentral.
ACGAACGCUGGCGGCGUGCCUAAUACCUGCAAGUAGAACGCUGAAGGAGGAGCUUGCUCUUCUGGAUGAGUUGCGAACGGGUGAGUAACGCGUAGGUAACCUGCCUGGUAGCGGGGGAUAACUAUUGGAAACGAUAGCUAAUACCGCAUAAGAGUAGAUGUUGCAUGACAUUUACUUAAAAGGUGCAAUUGCAUCACUACCAGAUGGACCUGCGUUGUCUUAGCUAGUUGGUGGGGUAACGGCUUACCAAGGCGACGAUACAUAGCCGACCUGAGAGGGUGAUCGGCCACACUGGGACGGAGACACGGCCCAGACGCCUACGGGAGGCAGCAGUAGGGAAUCUUCGGCAAUGGACGGAAGUCUGACCGAGCAACGCCGCGGGAGGGAAGAAGGAUGUCGGAUCGUAAAGCUCUGUUGUAAGGGAAGAACGAGUGUGAGAGUGGAAAGUUCACACUGUGACGGUAUCUGACCAGAAAGGAACGGCUAACUACGUG